AGUGUGCUCCUCUGGAAGCCCUCUGACUACCAGCCGCUUGUCUCUUCUUCUGCAGUUGAGAAAUAGACGGUCCACAGCAGACAACUUAGAAUGGAAUAAGGGAGAUGUGUUUGAGGCACUACCAUUGGAAGAUGUGCUGGGGAGAAGCCCAGCCCAGCAACAUGCGGCAGGACCACAUCUCGGCAGAGCUGCCACAAGCAGAGUGAAUGCAGAGCCAUCAAGAGCCAAGUUCUACAAGAGAUAAAUCAGCUGAGACUACCACUAGACAUCUGCAAGCAGAAGAUUAGGAGAGUAAAUUGGCUGAGACGCAUAUGCAUAUGACCCAGAAACCAAGUUGCGUGAAACUAUCAUGGUUUGUGCCUCGAUAGGUUCAACAAGGACAUGGUGAGAAGAUAGCCAUUUGCAAGCCAGAAAGAGCCGUCACCAGAACGCAACCAUGUAGAUACCCCGAUUUCAUAGUCCCAGCCUCCAAAACUAUACGUGCAGCAGUGCUUCAGGCAUUGUGGCCAAAUGAUGAUAUGAAUGAGACUGGAUUCUCCAGUAGGAAAUGGACUUGGCCUCAAGGUGAGAGCCAGAAGUUGAAGUGGACACAGUGCUAAAAAGGGGUAAUGCUCAGCUGGAUGGAGGUGGGCCUCUCCCAGAUGGCAACUUGUUUAUCAAAGCAUGAAAACCAAGAAGGUGAUAAAGAAAGUCUGCUAGCAAGACAUAAGUCACAAUCUUUUGUAAUCUAUUUAUGAAAGUGACAUACCAUCAUCUUGACCACAAUCUAUUGAUUAGAAACAAGUACAGCUCACCCUCAACAAGAGGAGAUAAUAUCCAGGUGUGAAUUGCACAAGACUAAUCCAGUGGAAAAACUAUAUUCGACCCAAGGAUCUGUAUCCACACAGUUUGACAAUAAUUUACUUCUUUCUGGAAGCGAUGAGCACAGUGUAAUUCCUGAGAAAUUUUAAUAAUGAUAUUUUAAUUAUAAUUAAGUGAAACCUAGCAAAGUUGGCUGUAUCUGGAGGAACUCCACUGUGGGAAACAGAUUCUUAAGAUGGCUGAAGAUGGCUGUUUCGCUGUAUCAAUGUGUGACUUUCAAUAGAUGAUCGAAGAUGGCUGUUUGGCACUGUGUCUGAAUUAAGCCAGAAGGAAGGAGGAAGAAGAUGAAGAAAAGGCAUGCUUCUACCCCUUAGGACCACGUCUCUGAAGCUGUAUACAACAUUUCUGCUCUCAUAUAAUUGGGCAGAACUUAGUCAUAGAGCUACAUGUAGUUGCAAGGGAAGCUAUAUGCACUAAUGUGCUUAGUUAAACAUUGGGAUUCUCUUACUAAGGUACAUAAGGAGAACAUAUAUUUGGAGAGGCAACUAUCCAUCUCUGCCACAAGAUCUGAAACAAUUAUUGUGAGACUAUAAACAUAGUAAAAAGCUCCAGGGAUCAGGGGGAAGUCAGAAAUUAUUUGGGAUUCCAGUGAAUGGAAUGUUGACCAUAAAUGAGAAAUGAUGCUUGGGAUAAUUCCUAGUGAGCAUUGGCUUUUAGAGUUGGGAUUGAAGUCAACCAGCUAUAAAGAGCAAGACUGGGUGGGAUACUUUGAAAUGUCAUAUCAUUGUGUAUGGCUUUUGUGGUAGUUACUGCUUCUUUUUAGAAUAAUUCUCAUAACUAGGUAGAAAGCUCACCUUUGAAACUUCUGCAUGCCUAAUAAAAUGCUUCACUCACACCCAGUUGUUUUACUCAAGCGAGUAGUUUUAUGGUAACUGCAUUUGGGGUAACAGUCUUACAGAAGAGUUAACACAAUGGGCAGAUUCCAGGUGUGCUGUCAUUUGGAGGAGGCAAAUCCAUACAGACAAGAAGUAGAUUAGUGGUUGCCUAGAGCUGGAGGAGGGUAAGGAUAAGGAAUGGAUUACUACUGGGACUGGGUUUCUUUUUGGGGUGAUGAAAAUUUUCUAAAAUUGAUUGUGGUGAUGGUUGCCUAACUCUGUGAAUAGCAAUGAAUUGUGCUAUUGUACACUUUAGGUAAAUGGUAUG
Molecule: long non-coding RNA, 2004 nt
Filed under: Pan troglodytes (chimpanzee)
Lineage: Eukaryota; Metazoa; Chordata; Mammalia; Primates; Hominidae
Description: lincRNA
Source: RNAcentral